CGGUGCGGAAGGGGAGGGAGUCGCCGGUCCCUCCGCGCUCCGCCUCUCUCCGCGCUUCUGGGAGUUGUAGGCGCCCGCUUUUCCUCAGAGGGGGACAUUUUGAGAGCGAAUUUGUGGGGCGAGAGGGGGCUGAGCGACUACAGCUCCCAGGGCGCACCGCGCCGCCCGACAUUUCGCAGCCCGUGCUGGGCCGGUCUCGGGGCCCCCGGGGGCCGGGGGGAGGGCACGGCACCGCCGCCUCCCUCCGCAGUCUGGAAAAAAGUCGUCACAGCUUUUGUUCUCAUCGGAAAAGCAGGGCUUGGCCGCAACGAGAACACUUCAGAGGAAGUGUCUGGUUUCUUUGUGUUUUGGUUUUUCUUUCUUUUUUUUUUUCUUUUUUUUUUUUUUUUUUACCUUCUUACGUGUUUAUUUUCAAAACAGAAAACCCCCAGUCACUCGAGGCAUAAAACCAUUAUCCGUAACAAAAAAAAAAGUUUCCACUGCCUGUCCCAGAAGAACAUUUUUUGCGCGUGUGUCAAGAAGCAGAGCUCUGUCUGAAAAUGUUUUAUUGGUGUUGGCCAAAGAGGCUUGACCUUUUUUUUCCCCUUAUUUCAGCAAACAGUUUAAAUUUUCAGCACAAAUACAUUUCCCCCGUGGCUUCAGUACUCAGCUUGUUUUCCCUAUGUUUAGGAAAAAGUAUUCGGUGUGCCAGGGGGCUUUGCCAGGCAAGGUUGUGGCUGUGGAGGCUUCACUGGCUCCUUUCAAGCUGGGCCUCACUGUGAGUCACCCAUAAUAUAAACUGCAGCCACUUCAAAUGCAUCCUCAGUUUUUAAAUACAUACUUUUGCCUGCUGGAGUGUUGCUAAUUACAAUAAUUUAUGAGACGAGGGCUGUGUUUGGAAUGCAUUUGGCAGCAAUGAUGGGAUUAGUGCAAAAUGUCUUCCAUCUAGCUGGAGUCAUGCUGUAGUUUUAAACCAACAGUUUUAGAGGUGUUUCCCCAUGUAGUGAUCCCAUUUUUUUAUGUAUACACAUUUGGCAGUAUGGUCACAAGAAUUCAAAUGGGUUCUCGGAGGGAAGAAAGGAAAACAUGAGUCUUCAAGUAGGUGAGCAGAAAUGGAAAGGAGGAGGGCAGUAAACAGGCAAAGGCAGCAAAGAGUAAACCCCCGGUAAAGGCUACCAGUGCUGUGUAACACUGUCUAGUGCACCAGGGACAGAGCAGGAGUGAGUACUUCAGUGUAGUAAGGAGCAGGCAAGAAAAGGAUGUGGAGUAAACAGUGGCAUGCCCCGUUUCUGUAAGGCUAGAGACAAGCAGGGUACAUCAUAGACUGGUGCAAACAAUGGCACUGUUUCUUGUUUUGAACACUGGUUCUGUGUUAGAUCAGGGGCUCAGAGGGGCAGAAGAGGGCAACACUACCUCGCUGUAUCACAUGGGGAUGUGUGUGCUUUCAGGGACAGGCCAUAUUUCUCCAUUUCCAGAGGCUACAAGUUCUCAUUUUUUUGCCUGGAUGCUGUGAAUAUUGAUAACCAAGGUCACCUUUGGAAGCUGAAUGUAGGCUUUUCCUCCUUCCUGUUUUUUUAUUCAGAAGAUUUAGUAUUGCACACUGCAGGGAACUGGGGAAGAGCUGCUCAUUCUCUGGUGGCUGAGGACAAGACAGCUUGCAGCAGUGGAUAUACUGGUGUGUUGGGAUUUUCGCUAUUGCUUGGCGACAGCUGAAAUAAAAAUAAUGAGUCAGAGUCUGAAGACGAACAGAUGGUAAAGUGUUUUCCCCUUCCUGGCCUGAACUGAGGUGGCUUGAAGAGGGUUGGGGGCUGGAAGGUGGAUCUGAGCUGCAGCACAGGACAUCAUCCAAAUGAGCGGGUUGUAUCCAGUGAGUGGGCUCCAAGGGGCCACUCAGUCACGGAGAUGGCCCCAUGUGUCUGCAGGAAGCCAGCGCGUCCCUGCGUGUGGGGGUGGCAUGUACAAAUGCACACCAGCCUCGGCCCCAGUACCGGCGCCUCCCGCUCCUGUCUUGCAAAUAAAUCUGUUGUUUGGCCCCCAUCCGGUGACUGUUUCCGCUGCUCUCUGGCAGUCUCCUGCUGCUGCUCCUGUGCUCAGAGCCUGGGGUAGGCGCCUGGCAGGGACUGCUGGCCCCUCUCCUUGCGGCUGUAGGAAAGUGGCAGGCAAUUCCCCAGGAGCCACACAGAUCCUAUAAGCCAGACAGAGCAAUAAGAUGCGUUUUCACCAUCUCCUGCAUCUGGAAGGAGUAUGGAGCAUGCCUGAUACCAACAGCAGUGAUGAAGGGCUGAAAGGGGUCGAGGGAACCAGCUGAGGGCCUUGAAGUUUACAUUAACAAAAAACUCAGAACCCUAAAGCUCCCUAGAUCUCUUGUUUGAACAAGACCUAAUGGGGUUUCACUAACCAACACAACUUUGCAGCCAAUGCCAAGCCUUGCAUUUAACAGCACUAGUCCUUGCUGGAGGAAAUCUCAGCAGUUUACUCACAGCCGGCAGACAGGGUGUUGUGUGCAUGCUGUCUCACCUGGCCUAACACCACCACCUCUUCGGUACUCAACAAAGCUGUGUUCUGACAUGAGGGAACACCCUCGCAAAGCAGGGCCAAGAAACAUCUUUUUUUUUUUUUAAAAAAAGAAAAAGGAAAAGGUGUGAUUAAUUAGAAAUGUUACUUGCAACCAUUGGCACUUGAGAUGGGCCAUCUAAAUCCAGUGAGAAACACCAGGCAGUCCGCAGCAUGCCUGGUUGCACAAUUUAUGUACCCUCUAAUGUGUCUGCAAGUGUGAAAACAACUUGGGCUUCAGUUAUGCAGCAGUUUUAGCAGCUAGGAGGUGUUGUCUGUUUGCUCCAGGUCCCUGGGUACUACAGUGAAAAAAGCAUCAGGCUGCCAGAGUCAGACAAGCUGCCAGAGGUUGGCUGAAGAGGUUACACCACACACUUCUGUGACCUCCUGCUUGGGUUAUGCCUUGUGCAAGGAAAUGUGAUGCUCUCCAGGCUGAAACUGAGUGGUCAGAUAACAAUACGCAGCCUCUGUCUAGUUCAGGUGCACAGCGUUGUACAUAUGGGACUUGAGAUUCAUAGUCUGUGUCUUUACCACUUAAUCAAGAGCUGGUCAAGUAGUUAAUUGUUUUCCUUUCCCCUUCAGCACCCACUGGUGACAGAUGUUUCCUCCCUGGGGGCUGUAUUUCCACUCUUGCGGACUCUCUGGUGCAGCCCCAGUUUGCAGCCCUAUCACAGCCCUUACAGUGAAAAAGUUUGUUGAAGUUUGUUUUUCAGAACAAUCUUGUUUGUUGUCAGCUGCUUUGCCUUAGGGCUGAAACUCCCUCCUCUCCCCUAACUGGAAGGGGCACACUGCCAUGCCCAGCACAGGAAAAGGGGUUAAGAGCAGGAAUGUGAGCACAGCACAUCCUUCAUCACGGAGCCCAGGAAGCAGAGCUGGCAGGCAGAGGGAGGGUGCGGCCAGAUCCAGCAGUGUGGGUGCUUUCUCCUACAGAAACCUCCACCAUAAACAGCUCUGGCAUGGGAGAGCUGGCUGGUUUUAUAUCCUCCUGUGAGAAUAUUGCAAAUCUUAGUUAGAGCUUAGACAACCUCUGAUUACAGAAUGCAAUAAGCAAUUUAUACAUGUUAGUUGCAGCUGUCUUAGUAGGAAACCAUUAGGCACAUUGCUAUUUAAAAAAACAAACAGUCCAGAAGAGCCUUACGAAACACAGCUCGCCAAAGCAAAAACUACCUUCAAAACUUCUCGUUAGAAACACUCUAGGAGGUUUUAAUAAGAAAAAAAAAAAAACAGUUUAGGAGGGAGGAGGAAAAGAAUUCCACUGGAAAAAAUCCCAGCUUGGUCUAGCUUAGAAAAAUUCAUGCCUGUGUUUUUAUUAUCUGAAAAUUCUUGUUUCAUUAAAAAAAAAAAAAAAAAAGAUUCCCUAGUCAUAUUCCUAGGCAUCGGAAUUCCACAGUAAGGUCUCCAGUGACUUUCGAAGUCCCUCAGACAUCUGGAGAAAAAUGUUAAAGAGAAGUGUAAGCCAGGGUCGUCCAUGCAAUAUGAGCACAAACGGGCUGGAAGCAUUCCACCCGCCUGUUCUCCUCACAGUGGGUUAUCUAUGUGGCCUCACAUGCUCCUGCAUGGCAGGACUGUUGUUUUCCAAGAAUAACCCAUAUCUUCACUCAACAGCACCUCAAAGGGGCCUAGUUUGCCUGGUUCUCUCCCAGCAUCACGUUCAACUCAUCUGUUUCAAGCACACCAGUGCAAAUACUCAGACUUGAAGUGCAAAGAGGGACUGCAUUUAGCCAGGAAGGUUUAAGAUCCCAGCUAUACUUCCAGGCUGAGGUCCCAAGGCACACACCCUGGAUGCUAAAUACUGCCAUGCUUUGCCAGUUAGCCUGCACUAUUGUUUCUCCCCCUCUUGAACACCAGCCCGGUUCUGACAGUGACUCACAUCGGCUUAAUCCUAGCUCCAGAGGCAGGAAUAAUUUUAUCCCCAUCUGGAGCAACAAUGCAGUGCCACAAUCCAAAUGUUUUAAGACAUGAAGCAAAAAGCAUCACAUUCAUGGGAAACCACCUAGAGGGUCAGCUGAGGACGGCAUUCCCUGCAGCCUGAAUUUUACUUGAAUCUGAGAAUGAGACAACCCUGUUCCCUUGGAAGACAUGGCAGAAAUCUGUACAUGACAGAAAGAAACAAGAUCUGACAACACAUCAUUAAAAAUCCACUAACAAGGGUGAUUGCUUUGUUUCUUUUUUAUUGUUUUUAAAUAUCACUUUUUUUUUUUCUUUCCAGAAGUCAUUAUGUCCGACUCCAUUAACAUUCAGGUAAACAAGUGAAAGAACAACAGAUGGGCAUGAUCUUGUAGCACAGGCACAGCCGCUGGGAGCAGGACUUGCCUUUCUUUGGGGCAGCUGAACGUUUCUCUCCCUCGCCCGCAUUCCCUCCCUCUCUCUACCAGCAAGGGUGAUGGCUGGCAACUGCCGCAGGACAUUUUUCUUCAAACACAGCAAGAAGUCCAAGACAGGACAGAGAAAGGCAGGCAGUUGUGGGAUCACAGCACUUGGGACUCCCACUUUGCUCUCAGCCAGGCUUUCCCCUGAGGGUGUGGAGAGGCAGGUGGGAGCAGCAACAGUGGCAUUACCAGACCAUCCACAAAAACCAGCCCAGCCCCCAUCCAGAUGGCAGCAGAGGGCAUUUGGGGACAUUUUCAGUCACUUCAGGAGAAGCCCCUUGAGUGUGUGCAGUACUGCCACCUCCUCCCCCCUGAAUUUCAGCACAGUCACUCUGUUUUGCAAUCCACAUUAGCUCCCCCACAGCUGUGCCCCUCUUCCCUUGAGGGUGAGGCACAACUGCAGCAGCCACCACUGCUGGCAAGCAACCUUCUUGCCUUCCCUCGGCACUAUUCUGAUGCAUCCCAGCCUGCCUGCAGGCCCCCCUCCCAGAGGCUGUAAAAACCCGUGCUGUUGAAGCCUGGUUCACAAAGCAUCCUGGUGUUAAGGUUAACUGGUUGUAAAAUUGCAGCAGUUCAUCACACUAUGCACACUAUGAGAAAUGUUUAUUAAAUUGAUUUUCGUUUCAUUUCUUUAAAAAAAAAAGGCAGAAAGAAGUUAAACACACUGCUUUGUGGCAUGCUCCACAGUAUGAAAAAAUCCCAAGCAUUCAGUUAAGCUGUCAGCGGCUCUGUUUGACCUUUCAGUGUGGUCUUUGAACUCAGACCUGGACAGUUGACACUCCUCCACCAGCCUCUUUCCUCCUCCCUGCUUCAGCUCACAGCCAUUUUCUCAGCUGUCACUAGCUCCAGGAGGGAUGUUCCCAUGGAGAGGGAGGGGUUUGUAUUGACAGCUUGCAAUUUAAUCUCUUUUUUUUUUUUGGGUUGUGGAGGGGAGCAGUACAGGGCACCAUGUUGCACACAAAUGCUAAGAUAUGCAGGAGAGGGGCUGAGGCAGAGCAGGGGUCCUACCUAGUGGUUUCCCCCCUUCACCUCAGCCAGCUUUGGGACUGACCAACUGGCAGAAGAGCCCUGUGGCUUUUGGAUCCUGAAUGCUUGCAAUGGGGCAAGUCCUCAGCCCUUCACAGCUCCCUCUCUACUUUGUGUUAACUCAGGUCCAGCUUCACAGGAGACCCAAGUGGGUAGUUUUUUCUGGGAGGGUUUCUCAGUUACUUCAUCAUUCUUAAGCAUGACAGUUCCUCUCUGUCCCUGGGCUGACCCCUCCUGCUACAGCUGAUGACCAUUCCAUCAAGUGUGGGGACUCGGUAACUCUAAAAGCAUUGCCCUCUCCUGCAAACAUCCUUCUGUCUCUUCUCCCAUGACCUUCCCAGCUGCUAGCUGUUCCCCUCCUUCAGCACCUUUCCUGCAGCAGCCACAGGAACAGGAGGCAGCCCAGGAAGCUGCCUCUGUAGCUCUCCUCAGUGACAAGCCACCUCUGAAAUGAACCAGAGGGCAAACUGCAGUCCCUGCAGGACAGAGUCUUAGCAAACUUCCUGCUCUUCCUCCUAAAGCUCUCAGAUUCUCUCCCCAAGUACCACUUUCUGCCAAUUGCUCCUGCCUGGGACAACCCAAACCCCUAAAGGUACACUGUCCAAGGACACACCCGACCUGCAUCGAGACCCAGCCUGUCUUCAAACAGAGCUCCAGCUGCAUACACAGCAUCAACUGAAUACUGAACAAUAUCAAAAAUAUGGUAUAAGGAAAGAAAACAGAACUGAAAUGCGUAAUGGCAUAUUUAUACACAUUUAUCAACAGUCAACAAAAAAGGCGGCAAGUUACACAUCCAUUCUGUAUGCUAACAAUCUCGAUGCACAUAGAUGUAAACACACAUGCUUGGAUGAUGCGUAUACAUAUAGCCACAUAACAGAGUAGAUGACCUGAAGGAGCUACGCUGGGGAGCAGGGGAAGGGGUUACCUACUGCAAAACCUCACCUCGUUCUCGAUGUGCACAACAUGGACAUUCAGGGCAGUGUUGCUUUAAGGCUAUAUCUAAGGCUGAAUCUUUUCUUGUCUGACCCCUCAAUAUAAAGAUCUGUUGAAGCACUUCCUCCUCUUACCCAGCACAACUUGAGAUAUAUAUAUAUAUAUAUUUACCUAUAUAUUUUUUAAAGGCCCUAUAUACUAAAAGGCAGGAAUAGGAAAGGGGAGAGUCAAAGGGAGGAAAAUCUUCUCAAUGGAUCAGUUUGCCCCAGUGCAGGAAUUUUCUAUGAUGUAGUGGCAAUGGCCAUGGCAACCAUAUGCAGCGAACAAGGUACUAGUUUAAAAUGAUCAAUGAUCACAGGUCUCCCUCCCUAUCAGAUCUGAAGCUCUUUGUUGCAACAAAGGGGGAGAGUGAAAUACUUUAAGAAACAGAAAUAUUCCUGAAGUGGGGAAAGUGAUCACUAAUUUAAACUCCUCCCCUUACCUGCUUCAAGGUGGCAAAAAGCUGAGAGAUACUGUAAUUUCCAGCUCAAGUGCCUGUACGGCUAAGGGAAAGGCUUUGCUUAAAAAUAUAUAUCUAUAGAACUAUACAUACAGAUAAUCUUUUUAGUGACAUUCUGAUUUUAUUACAUAGCUCCUGGGUCACUCCCCCUCUAUCUACAUGGUAAUGGAGUGGCAUACAAAAGAAGCCACAUACAUCAAAUUGAUAACCAAAGUUACCAGAUCACAAGAAUGUGUUUCAACUGGUACGAUCUAAAAUCCUGAAUUCCCUUGACUUUAUAAGCUGUUCUAUUCUUGAUAUAACUGGAAGGUCUUAAAAAUAAACUUUUUUUUUUUUAAAUCAGAUUAUGACAAUUUCCCAGCAAUAUUACAGUGUGUGACAAUGUGCCAUAAUUAAAGAAAAUUUAAUUGAACAAGAUAGUGAUGCAAAGAUGAAAUUUUAAGGAUUAUGCAUAUGGUUGGGAACACCCAAGUGUCAUCCUGCAGUACAUAAAAGCAGUCUAAAGUCUGCUAAAAGAUUUCUAAAAUCAGGAACUAUUUUUUUAAUGUUUUUUCUUUUUCCAAUAUAAUUUCUGUGUAAGCAUUAGCUUAACAGUGGAAAGUUGAUAUAGAACUAGACUGUCCCCAAAACAUAUGUCUACAAUGAAAUAUUGAAGGAGGUUAAAAAAGUAACUUAAUUUUCAGUUUAUAUUUGAAAAACUGGGGCUAUAUUUGAAAAACUGAGACUAAAAUUCACCCUCUGACCUUUUAAUGUAAUGAAUGAAUGGAAAUGAGCAAAUUUAUAAAGUUAUAGCCCCAAGGAAAACAAAACCCCAUAAAACCAAAAACCAUUUUUACACUUUAUAGAGUAAAAAAAUUUAAGCAUGACCUCUGUUAAGGAUUGACCUAUCGAUGCAAACAGGUCAGAGAGGAACAAUGUGCCCGAGUUUCCCCUGGGUUACAUCGCACCCAGGCAACAGAGGCUCUUUCCUCUCCUCUCCUCUCUCCCAGGCUUCAGGCAGUCAGCCAGGCUUCCCUGUGGACAGCCUGGAAAUGCCAGGGAGUUGGGGUGAUGGUUGGAAAAGAUGAGUACAAAUUAACAAAACCACUAAAAUCUGCUUCAGCAUCCAGUAAAAAAAGUCAGUAAAACCAAGGCAAAAUUUUUCUGGUAACAGGCUGCAGCCUUCUCCUCUGCACAUCUUCCACCAAUGUUACUUCUGAGUUACUGGGGGUGGGGAAGGGGGAGGAAGGACUUGAUCUCCUGCUACAGCAGCUUUCCCAUCACACAAAACUGAUGUGUAACUAACUCAGCCACAAAGAUACGGGAAAGUUUGAUUUAUUAAACAAACAAAAAAAAGUACUUCAAAAUAAAAAUGGUAAGUACUGUAUGGUAAUAUUGGAAGCAUUUAUAUACAUAGUUUUCUUUGUCUGUUGUUGAAAUGUCUCCUGGUCACUUGGUGGCACUUGGGGUCCCCUCUAGCGCCGUCUUCCCUGCUCCCCCCUUCCCCUCCCCGGCUCUCACGGCUCAGUAGACGGAGCUGUUCCUUAUGCCACAGCACAGCACCAUGCUCAGGAUCAUCUCGAAGAUCUGUUGAGAGACACGGGGGCACCAGUGAGGCACCAAUCAGUAUGAUGCAGGUCCCCCACUGCAUCCUAAGGUCCCCCAAUCCACUCUCAUGCCAGAGGUAAGUGCAGAGAUGCUACAUCUUUGCUGCUGUUUUCAUUAGGAGUUGGCCAGUUUGAGAUAAGAUGAUGUUCUCCUGUCUCUCUCUGGCAGCAGUGGUGUUACAUUACAAGCUUCCUGGCUGCCAACUGCACAGCAAAUGCCUCGAGAUCGCUCCAGCAUUACAGCCCAGCCUUUGUACAGGCGCCGGGUUACCAGCCCAUGCCACCCACCCCUCACUAGGGAGCAAACCCAACAUGGCAAAACAAGCAAAUCCUUUCCCACUGCAGACCCCAGCAACAGAACACGGCACCCUGUGAAACAAGUGGUUUUGGAGGCAGCGAGCAGGUUUCAAUGGUGCUCUGCCCUUCUGGACGGGCUUGCAGGUGGCUCUUGCUCCACUGAGCUUGUCACGUGCCUCCCCUAACAACUCAACUCCAUGGAGGGAUAACAAAGCCCUCAGUCUUGCCAUGUUCCAAAGCAGCUGAGGUGCACAGGGCUGGUGCUGCAUGCUGAGCUGCAGGAGCAUCUGGAGGAGAGGGAUGGAUCCAGCCCAGCUGGAAAAGGACCACGGCACCCCGAGGUGGCUUUUCCCUGUCCCACCAUGCUGUCAUGCUUACCAUGAUCACAGCGACCACGACAGCAGCGAUACCAAUCAGGUACAGCUUCCCAGAGAACAGGUCAUCGAUUUUUCUGUGGCAGUUUGAGUUCUGAA
This is a long non-coding RNA of Pseudopipra pipra, 9715 nucleotides long. RefSeq lists it as uncharacterized. Lineage: Eukaryota; Metazoa; Chordata; Aves; Passeriformes; Pipridae. The transcript is spliced from 2 exons. The record is from RefSeq and is a predicted model, not a curated record.